AAUGAACGCUGGCGGCGCGCCUAAUACAUGCAAGUCGAGCGAGAAGACGUAGCAAUACGUUUGUAAAGCGGCGAACGGGUGAGGAAUACAUGGGUAACCUACCCUCGAGUGGGGAAUAACUAGCCGAAAGGUUAGCUAAUACCGCGUACGCUUCUUGGACUUCGGUUCAGGGAGGAAAGCGAUACCGUGGGUAUCGCGCUCUUGGAUGGGCUCAUGUCCUAUCAGCUUGUUGGGAGGUAACGGCUCACCAAGGCUUCGACGGGUAGCUGGUCUGAGAGGACGAUCAGCCACACUGGCACUGCGACACGGGCCAGACUCCUACGGGAGGCAGCAGUAAGGAAUAUUGCGCAAUGGGCGAAAGCCUGACGCAGCGACGCCGCGUGGGGGAUGAAGGUCUUCGGAUUGUAAACCCCUUUCGGGAGGGAAGAUGGAACGAGCAAUCGUUCGGACGGUACCUCCAGAAGCAGCCACGGCUAACUUCGUGCCAGCAGCCGCAGUAA
RNAcentral lists this ribosomal RNA (500 nucleotides) under uncultured bacterium. RNAcentral's name for it is "bacterial SSU rRNA". It matches the Rfam family "Bacterial small subunit ribosomal RNA", at positions 29 to 523 of the family's 1533-position model. The record is from RNAcentral.